CAGUCGCCACGGGAAUACAGAGGGUGCAAGCGUUAAUCGGAAUUACUGGGCGUAAAGCGCGCGUAGGUGGUUCGCCAAGUUGGAUGUGAAAUCCCCGGGCUCAACCUGGGAACUGCAUCCAAAACUGGCGAGCUAGAGUAUGGUAGAGGGUGGUGGAAUUUCCUGUGUAGCGGUGAAAUGCGUAGAUAUAGGAAGGAACAUCAGUGGCGAAGGCGACCACCUGGACUGAUACUGACACUGAGGUGCGAAAGCGUGGGGAGCAAACAGGAUUAGAUACCCCGGUAGUCCCUGUCUCUUAUAC
This 301-nucleotide ribosomal RNA is filed under the name uncultured bacterium. Its description in RNAcentral is "partial 16S ribosomal RNA". It matches the Rfam family "Bacterial small subunit ribosomal RNA", at positions 509 to 807 of the family's 1533-position model. The record is from RNAcentral.